Molecule: long non-coding RNA, 1296 nt
Filed under: Jatropha curcas
Lineage: Eukaryota; Viridiplantae; Streptophyta; Magnoliopsida; Malpighiales; Euphorbiaceae
Description: long non-coding RNA (JCUR_LNC000235)
Source: RNAcentral
UUUUUAUAUACAAAAUUUUACCUAAUAAUAAUAAUAAGAAUCAUCAUCGAGUGCUAGUAAUUUUAUUAGUUAUUUUUCAUUAAUGAUAUAAUUAUUUUUAAUUCAUUAUUAAGCAUUUUACUAAAAGUUCUGCGAUAUCUGCCUUGUAAACUGGAAUAGCUAUCUAAUCAAGUAUUAGAGGUAAAUUCAAUAUAUAAACCAGGGCAUUAAUCUCAAUCAAAAUCCAUCCUCCAUUAUUUACAUAACAUUUGAACUGCUUAGAUAAUAAGUGGACACUCACCAAAACAGUAAUUAGAUCUUCGAUUUUUAAUCUAACUUUCCCUUUGAUUUAAGUUAAUCAAUAAGCUAAUUCAACUAAGCUAACAUUUUAGUAAAUUUCUAUUUUAGCUAUACAUUUAGCUUAACUAAACCGAAACAAUAAAAUUAGACCAAUAAACUCUUAACCAAAUUCCAUCGGAAAUUUAGCAUCCAAGCCCAGGGAUCACCGAUAGAAAUUUCAUUAACACCGUUGCAUUGACCAAAUCGAGACGAGAAUUCUAUCUCCUAUGGCCUCACCAGAGUCUCGCCGGCCGCUCACUGAAAUGCCGACCGUCGAACACGGUGGUUGGAAAAUCGAAUAUUGCGGAACUGAGCAACACAUACACCAAAAUGCUCGAAAUCUCAUGGGGACUCAUAAUCCGUGAUGAAUUUGGACUAGGUGUGUCUCAUUUGGCUGAAAAUGGCCUCGACAGUAGCUUCACCACUGCCAUCCAUGGCGGUUUCACAUGCGAGCUUCGUUGACCGAAUUAACAUAGGGGAAUUGCUUGCAUGGGGCUGAGGAGCUAACUGAAUCCGUCUUCAUCGCGUAAAUCAGCCGGUAACGGCAAGAACUCGCUGGAGAGUGAGAUCGCAAACUGAAGAUAUUUCAAGUUUCAUUUUCUCUCGAUCCAGGCUUAAAUCGUGUGAAUUAGGACUUGGAUUGAACUUCUUACGACGAGUAGAGCACUUUAGAGUCCCUAAUCGUCUGAUUCCAUUGAGUUUGGUCGGAGAAAGGGAAGGAGGGAGGGCGCAGGAGCUGUUGGCGACGGGGAGAGAGAGGAUGAGGGAUUUGAGUUUGUUUUUAAGAAUAUAGUCUGAUUUGGUCCAAACCAAAUGGGUUCAGCUCGAUUUAGAUGGUUUUCGGAUUUUUAAUUCAACUGAUUUGCUUUUUGCAAAUAAUUUAAUAUUAUAAUAUAAUUUAAAUUUUCUAAUUUAAAUUUAAUUCAAAAUUUUUAAAAAUAAAAGAUAGAGUCCUUUCAUUUAGAUGGAACGCUUUCU